CCUACGGGAGACAGCAGUGAGGAAUAUUGGUCAAUGGGCGCGAGCCUGAACCAGCCAAGUCGCGUGAGGGAAGACGGUCCUAUGGAUUGUAAACCUCUUUUGUCGGGGAGCAAAAGCCGCCACGCGUGGCGUUCCGAGAGUACCCGAAGAAAAAGCAUCGGCUAACUCCGUGCCAGCAGCCGCGGUAAUACGGAGGAUGCGAGCGUUAUCCGGAUUUAUUGGGUUUAAAGGGUGCGCAGGCGGCAGAUCAAGUCAGCGGUAAAAUUGAGAGGCUCAACCUCUUCGAGCCGUUGAAACUGGUUGUCUUGAGUGAGUGAGAAGUAUGCGGAAUGCGUGGUGUAGCGGUGAAAUGCAUAGAUAUCACGCAGAACUCCGAUUGCGAAGGCAGCAUACCGGCGCUCAACUGACGCUCAUGCACGAAAGUGUGGGUAUCGAACAGGAUUAGAUACCCCGGUAGUC
Molecule: ribosomal RNA, 459 nt
Filed under: uncultured bacterium
Lineage: Bacteria
Description: partial 16S ribosomal RNA
Rfam family: Bacterial small subunit ribosomal RNA
Source: RNAcentral